UACAGAGGUCUCAAGCGUCGUUCGGAAUCACUGGGCGUAAAGGGUGCGUAGGUGGCGAGGUAAGUCAGAUGUGAAAGCCCGGGGCUCAACCUCGGAAUUGCAUCCGAUACUGCCCUGCUUGAGUACUGAAGGGGUGACUAGAAUUCUCGGUGUAGCAGUGAAAUGCGUAGAUAUCGAGAGGAAUACCAAAGGCGUAGGCAGGUCACUGGGCAGUUACUGACACUGAGGCACGAAGGCCAGGGGAGCGAACGGG
Molecule: ribosomal RNA, 253 nt
Filed under: uncultured bacterium
Lineage: Bacteria
Description: partial 16S ribosomal RNA
Rfam family: Bacterial small subunit ribosomal RNA
Source: RNAcentral